UGGUCUGGGAUGGACUCGCGGCCUAUCAGGUUGUUGGUGGGGUAAUGGCUCACCAAGCCUACGACGGGUAGCCGGCCUGAGAGGGUGACCGGCCACACUGGGACUGAGACACGGCCCAGACUCCUACGGGAGGCAGCAGUGGGGAAUAUUGCACAAUGGGCGAAAGCCUGAUGCAGCAACGCCGCGUGGGGGAUGACGGCCUUCGGGUUGUAAACCUCUUUUAGUACAGAAGAAGCCUUUGGGUGACGGUAUGUGCAGAAAAAGCACCGGCUAACUACGUGCCAGCAGCCGCGGUAAUACGUAGGGUGCAAGCGUUGUCCGGAAUUAUUGGGCGUAAAGAGCUCGUAGGCGGUUUGUCGCGUCUGCUGUGAAAUCCUGAGGCUCAACCUCGGGCUUGCAGUGGGUACGGGCAGACUAGAGUGCGGUAGGGGAGAUUGGAAUUCCUGGUGUAGCGGUGGAAUGCGCAGAUAUCAGGAGGAACACCGAUGGCGAAGGCAGAUCUCUGGGCCGUAACUGACGCUGAGGAGCGAAAGCAUGGGGAGCGAACAGGAUUAGAUACCCUGGUAGUCCAUGCCGUAAACGUUGGGAACUAGAUGUAGGGGCCAUUCCACGGUUUCUGUGUCGCAGCU
Molecule: ribosomal RNA, 629 nt
Filed under: Microbacteriaceae bacterium
Lineage: Bacteria; Bacillati; Actinomycetota; Actinomycetes; Micrococcales; Microbacteriaceae
Description: bacterial SSU rRNA
Rfam family: Bacterial small subunit ribosomal RNA
Source: RNAcentral